UAGCGUAUAUUAAAGUUGUUGCAGUUAAAAAGCUCGUAGUCGAACUUCAGUUCGGUGUGCUCGGUCUGCCGAUGGGUAUGUACUGAGCUGCGCCGUUCUCGCAGCUGGCGACGCCGUGUGUUCUUAACUGAGCGUGCGGUGGACACAGCGUGUUUACUUUGAGAAAAUCAGAGUGUUUAAAGCAGGCCAAGAUUGCUCUUGCAUGGAUUAGCAUGGGAUAAUGAAAUAGGACUUUGGUGCUAUUUUGUUGGUUUCGAGUACCGAAGUAAUGAUUAAUAGGGAUAGUCAGGGGCACUUGUAUUCCGUUGAGAGAGGUGAAAUUCUUAGACCAAUGGAAGACAAACUACUGCGAAAGCAUUUG
This 361-nucleotide ribosomal RNA is filed under the name Haptophyta environmental samples. Its description in RNAcentral is "bacterial SSU rRNA". It matches the Rfam family "Eukaryotic small subunit ribosomal RNA", at positions 595 to 957 of the family's 1831-position model. The record is from RNAcentral. Lineage: Eukaryota; Haptophyta.